Molecule: unclassified non-coding RNA, 201 nt
Filed under: Hevea brasiliensis (rubber tree)
Lineage: Eukaryota; Viridiplantae; Streptophyta; Magnoliopsida; Malpighiales; Euphorbiaceae
Source: RNAcentral
GCCAAGGCUCAUUUAUAUCGGUUUUUAUUAUCCUAUUAACUCUCAUUUCCGUGUUUCUCUUUUCCUCCGCAUUUCUCUUUUAUGUUGUCUCUGCUGCUCGCCGGCGAGCAUUGUUCGCUUCGCCCGUCAUUCUCUUCAUCCACGACGUCGUUGCGGCCUUUCUCCACUUAUUGACCAUUGACUUCUUCUUCUUCUUCUUCU